RNAcentral lists this long non-coding RNA (237 nucleotides) under Mytilus galloprovincialis (Mediterranean mussel). Lineage: Eukaryota; Metazoa; Mollusca; Bivalvia; Mytilida; Mytilidae. The record is from RNAcentral.
AAUGGGGAAAACUGUUGUAUGGGAUGCUGGUGAACAAGGUACCGGUGAGUAGGAUACGGUCUCUGAGGCACUGGUGUCUGGUACCAUUGGUUCUGGAUAGGUAAGUGAUACCUCUGUCUUUCAAUGUAUUCCCUUGGACCAUGGUAAUACAUUUGUUGAUCUAUUGCAUAAAAGCUUUCUUGUUGGUCAUAAUUAACUGGUCUUGGUCUUGGAUUCACCAGUGGGGGAAGUUGCUCU